GCAUUUAUUAGAUAAAAAGCCAGUKCAUGCUUUUACAGUAUGAAAAUUGGUGAUUUAUAAUAACUUAGCAAAUCGCAAAGUGAAAACAGGCGAUAAAUCAUUCAAGUUUCUGACCUAUCAGCUUUCGACGGUAUGGUAUUGGCUUACCGUGGCAGUGACGGUUAACGGGGGAUUAGGGUUCGAUUCCGGAGAGGGAGCCUGAGAAACGGCUACCACAUCUAAGGAAGGCAGCAGGCGCGCAAAUUACCCAAUUCUAACAGUUUGAGAGAGGUAGUAACAAGAAAUAACAAUACAAGGCAGUUAAAAUGCUUUGUAAUUGGAAUGAUAGAAAUUUAAACCCUUUUUAAAGUAUCAAUUGGAGGGCAAGUCUGGUGCCAGCAGCCGCGGUAAUUCCAGCUCCAAUAGCGUAUAUUAAAAUUGUUGCAGUUAAAAAGCUCGUAGUUGAAGUUCUGCUGAAAGUAACCGGUCUGCUUUUAAUAAAAGUGGUAUCUUGGUAUGUAUUUAGCAAUGAUGUC
RNAcentral lists this ribosomal RNA (515 nucleotides) under Hepatozoon canis. RNAcentral's name for it is "SSU rRNA". The record is from RNAcentral. Lineage: Eukaryota; Apicomplexa; Hepatozoidae.